This is a non-coding RNA of Potamilus streckersoni, 78 nucleotides long. The record is from the annotation of a GenBank genome assembly. NCBI's taxonomy places the organism in Eukaryota, Metazoa, Mollusca, Bivalvia, Unionida, Unionidae.
UGACCACUCCUGUGGCCUAGUGGUAGAGCAUCCACCUCAGAUGUGGGAGGUCACUGGUUUCAUCCGCAGCCAAGUCAU